Molecule: ribosomal RNA, 253 nt
Filed under: uncultured bacterium
Lineage: Bacteria
Description: partial 16S ribosomal RNA
Rfam family: Bacterial small subunit ribosomal RNA
Source: RNAcentral
UACGUAGGGUGCAAGCGUUGUCCGGAAUUAUUGGGCGUAAAGAGCGUGUAGGCGGUCCGGUAAGUCCGUUGGGAAAGUCAGGGGCUCACCCCUUGAAUGCCGGCGGAUACUGUCGGGCUAGAGUCCGGAAGAGGCGAGUGGAAUUCCCGGUGUAGCGGUGAAAUGCGCAGAUAUCGGGAGGAACACCUAUGGCGAAGGCAGCUCGCUGGGACGGUACUGACGCUGAGACGCGAAAGCGUGGGGAGCAAACAGG